RNAcentral lists this transfer-messenger RNA (404 nucleotides) under bovine gut metagenome. It matches the Rfam family "transfer-messenger RNA". Rfam says of the family: Bacterial tmRNA, also known as 10Sa RNA or SsrA, is named for its dual tRNA and mRNA-like properties. Its role is to liberate the mRNA from a stalled ribosome. The record is from RNAcentral.
GGGGAUGCUUUGGUUUCGACAGAAAUGUAGAAUCUUUAGUAAGCACGUCUAGGGACGGUUGGCCUAGUAAAAAGCCGUAAAAAAUUAAAUGCAAACAAAAAAGAUUUCGCUCCUAGAGCACUUGCUGCUUAAUGUGAGCUAACUUUUUUACUUUAGCCUUACUGAAUUUUCACUAGGGCGGCUAAUAUGAAGCUCCACCUUUGGUUUUGUAUUUAGCUUAUCAUUUAGAAGGUUAGUUUAUAGGAUUUAUUUAGCGUCUUAUAAGUGAAAAUUUAGCUAAAUUAGUCUUUUUAUAUUUUGCUUUUGGAAGAUAAAGAGGCGAAUUUAAAACAAGAGCUAAACGUGUAGAAAGCUAUUUUGUGAAGCUUUUCUGGACGGGGGUUCGAGUCCCCUCAUCUCCACCA